RNAcentral lists this long non-coding RNA (5121 nucleotides) under Anas zonorhyncha (Eastern spot-billed duck). Its description in RNAcentral is "lncRNA (ENSAZOG00000003412.1)". Lineage: Eukaryota; Metazoa; Chordata; Aves; Anseriformes; Anatidae. The record is from RNAcentral.
CACAGCUCACACCCAGAGGGCUCCCAAAGACCCGCGCUCAGCACAAGGCAGCGGCAGCACCCAUGCCCCGGUGAGCAGCCCAGUUCCUCACUUGUGGAGCCACUACAGCAGCUGCAUAGGGGGGAGCGAAAUGGGGAAAUUUGGGGCAGAUUUCACUUUUAAAUAUGGGAAGUGCAUCGCCCUCCCCAUGCUGCCCAGCCAGUCAGAGCCCUGAGCUGGGGCUGGGCACCCGGCCCUCACUGGGGCGAUUUCCCCGAAAGCCGCCGUUGCGCCACCGCAGCCCCUGCUGCGCGCAGCCGCCUUGCGAAAGCAAACACCCGAGCGAGCAGCGUCCGUCCGUCUGUCCGUCCCUCCGUCUGUCCGUCCUGCUGGUCUGCUCCAUCAGGCAGCCAUGGCAGCGGCUGGCAUCGCUGCCAUCCUCAUCCUCACAGCACUGCCACCCGCUGCGGCCGCUUCCUGCGAGCCCACGCAGAGCCCGGCCAACGCAACGGCACCGGGGCUGCUGGGGACGUGGCGGUACGUGGCCGGGGCCGCCCAGCUGCCCCAGCACCUCCUGGAGCUGCUGCUCAUCGACCACGGCCACCUGCGCGUGGAGCCCAGCGCCGGGGGGCAGGAGCUGCUCGUCACCCAGCACGUGGCCGCGGGCGGCCGCUGUCUCUCCAACAACUCCACCUACUUCCAGCUCCCUGAUGGUGGUGGAACAGUGCUGGUGAAGCACGCCAAGACCCAGCAGACCGUGGGGACGCUGCUGAACCUCAGCUCUGAGGACAUUUUGCUCAUCCAGCACCAACUGCAGAAGGAGAGGACGUAUUCAGCGCUGUAUCUCUAUGCCCGAAAUCAGACCGUGAGCAAGGCCCAGCGGGACGAGUUCACCCAGCACGCCCAGCGCCUGGGGCUCAGCGAAGGGGAGAUCAUGUACGCACCAUGGAGGCAGGAGCUGUGUCAAGUGGAGGAAACCCAAGAUGGCGGCGCCCAAGGCACGGCCCCCCCGGCCACAGGCCCAGAGCCACCAGCACCAAGCGGGGCCGGGAGCACGACAAGCCAGCACCAAUAAAUUCUUCACUCCAACACGUCACUGUUCAUUGCUGAGAGAUUAGGGCUCAGGAGUGCAAAAAAAGAGAUUGAGCACCCGAUUUGCCUCAUGUGUCCCUCGCCUGGUGUUUGGGAACAGCAGCCUCGAGCGCCCGUGGCUGCAGGAUGAGGCGCACAGGGCAACCGUGGCCUCUCAGCCCCUCACAGCAUGCUCCAGGCCCGGGUUUGGGAGCUGGGCUCCUCCAGAGGUAACACUGAAAGCAGUGAUGGAGGCUUACCAGAAGAGGGCAAUCGGUUACCAUGCAUAGAAGCAUGCCAAGCAUCUGAUGCGUAACUGAAAUCCACGUGAGGCCAGAAACUUCUCAAACUGUGGGCCAAGAGGAAGAUGGGGCUUAACUGGAAUCAGUCCCUAACUCCUGCCAGAGCUGGUCCAUCUUGCCCAAAACGAGCCCAGCUGCUGCUGCCCUUCCCUCUUAUCCCUUUGGGCCAGGCUGGAGCUCCCCAGCCUUCACCCACAGCAUGCCCGGCUGUGGUGACACUGGUGGAGCUGGGGCUGCUAACCCAGGCCUGCAGGAUUUUGAUUCCUCCCCAGAAAAAGGGCACAAUUCCUCACAUCUGCAUGAAUCCAGCACGGUGCUGGGGUAUGGUGCUGACAGACACCCCACGCCUCCAUCUUCACCCAGGGGAGCACAGCGCUGCUGCUCCGUGCUUGUGACACUAAGGGAAGGUUAAAAAAAGCACCCGUGGUUGCUGCGUGGCUGGGAGGUAAUUCAGUCUCAGCUCUAACCUAGUAAUUAAGCACUGAAAAUAUCUCUGCCUUAAAAAGGAGGAAAAGGACGAGCUGCUGGCACACAGCAAGGAGCCCUGCCCCUCCGCAGUGCCACCAGGGUGCCUUUACCCUGCAAGGCAGCGCAUGCUGGGGAGCAUUUCGCUCGGGCUUCUGGCCCAAUUUCUUGUAGCAAAACUGGGUUUUACAGAGUGAAAUCAGCACGUUCCCUCGGGGUCUCAGGGCACAGGUACCUGGCCAGCCUUUGCUUCCAGCAUCUUUAUCGGCUUCUGGCAAAAAUCUUAACACUCCACCUCAGAGCCAGCCAUGGAAGGGCAGGAGAGGACAGCAGAGAUGGGUGCUGCCAGCAGCCUUGAGAGCUGUGGGGCAGAGAAGGCUGCGAUGCCUUCAGCUGAGCAGAGCUGACGCUGCUGGAAAGCAGCUCCUCAGGUUGCAAGGGCCAAGGCUUUAUAAGUAGAGUUACAGAUGAAUAAAAGCCUUGAAUGACAGUCAGAGACAUAAAAACCAACCCCAGUGCAGUCCCCACGGAGAGUUCUGUUUGCCGGUAGUGCAAAUGCCGUCUGAUUUAGCUGUUUCCUGGAACCUUCAAUAGCUCAGUUUUAUUGUUGUUGUUUUAGACAGAAAUUGGAAAAAAAUUUUUUUUUGAAAACCUUAGAAGUCCUUCAAGGUUCCUUUGUUCCUUCAGGGGCAUUAUUUAGACUGCGGAGUUUCCAGAUUUUCCAGGGCUCUCACUUCUCUGAACAAGUUAUGGACACUGAACAGAUGAAGAAAACAUCCAGCAGCACUCAGAGCUAAGCCAACCAUAUCCAAGUGUUUCUGAGCCAUUACAUCCACCAUUACUUUUGAUCUCGUUUUUGCUCUUUUUUCCCUUUAAGAAUUCUGUUCUCCCAGGUCCUUGUAGGGAGAACCAUUCCCAGCAUCACCAUCCUUGGUAAAAGCCAUCCUAGUCUGGCCACAGACCACCAAUAAGCCAUAUCGAGAAAGAGACAGACACAUGGCAUCUCUUUGACAGACCUUUAUUAGCAGACUGUUCCCUACAUGAAGGAUCCGAGUUAGAUUUGCAUAUUAACAAUUUGUGGUUACAGCUACAAAGAUGGUUGUCAUUUUGCAUUGAUUUUUGCAUUCUGAUAUUCAUAUUUCCAUUAGGCCACACGGGUAGGAAGGAGCCACUGCAAAAUUUACAAUAGAUCUCAAAAAAAAAAGAGGGGGGGUGGGAAAAAAUCUUAUCACUAAUCCAGACCGCUUAGAUUCCCAUGUGGCUAACUACUGACAGCACUGGAUAGCCAAGGCAGAGAGCCUCACCUGGAAGGCUAUCCAUGAAGUCUGUCAGCAGAAAAGCAGCUGCUGAGUGCUAACAGAUCCUUUUCCGACUUCUCAGGCACUUCUCUCCAGUGUCCAUUUGCACAUAGAGAGCAGUGGCUCAGCAGCAGGAUCUGCUGAUUCAGCCUCAAAGCACAACUGCAGCAGCUUGGGUCUAAGGGCAAGUUUCCUCCCAUCUCUCUAGAAACUUGUGUUUUCUUUAGUCCCUGAGAUUUCUCCCCCCUCCCCUUUUACUUAAAGAUUCCCCAAGAUCGCUCUCAAUUAGCUGUUGUGACACCCAACAUGCACAGACCUUCUACUUCCCAACUUCAGCCAUCCACCCGAAACCCCUUCAGCCAUGCACAGAGGCAAUUCCGAAAUAAGGCAGGCCUCACAGUGCACCCUCUGCCCUCAUCCCUGCUUCCUCACCAGCUCCCUUCUCUCCUAUGGCAUCCUGCUACAGAAUUUCUCUGGGCUGAGGUCCUCCAGCAACAACCCCGGACUGGGGAAAGGCAGCUCAAGCCCCACAGGGAAGGUACGCUAGUGACUUCAGUGUCCUUCCCACGACUCAGCUGUGUGAUGUACGAGAACAAAUAGAGAACUUUUUAAAACAGGAGAAAUACAAGCACAGUAACAAUAUUUAAACAAGUCUAUAAAAAUAGUCUGACAUAACUCUGUUCAAAUAAAUACAAAAUAAAUAUGCUUUAAGCAGUAAAACAGUGGAAUGCAACGCUGGUCCAUCUUGCCCAAAACGAAAAGUUGGAUGAGGAUCUCCCAGGCCUCAGAAGCCAGAUCCUAUCAACUAAAGUAGCCCAUAAUGCAGAGAAAUUUUUAAAGCCAGCUCUUUCCCUUAGCCUUAUGAAAAGCACCCUUUGAAAGAAAAGCAAGUGCGUCCUCAGGACUGAAAGCUCACCUCUCCCAGUGACAACCAGCCCCUCUCCCUAACACCCCUUCCCACAACAGACCCUUCUGGCUCGGGGACUCCAUCCCGCUAAUGCAAACCUGAACAUCAAUCUACAAAGAGGUCUAAAGAGAUAGAUAGCAGCGUAGGCACUGGGUUUGGAAAGGUCCAUCAGCUACCCUUGGCACCAGGCAGAAUGGAAUUCAGAGGUCCAUGCGAUGCUGCACAGGGGCUCUCUUGUCGUGCUGGGAGCACAGCUGCACAGGAGCUGUGAAGUAUUGUCAUUUAUUCACUAAAGCCAUGCAUCAAGGUGCCGGUCCACCGAGGACUCUCAAGCCUUCCCCUUUCCAAGCCCCUGCUGAGUAUAAGACAAGCCAAUCCCGGCAUGCAAAGGAUACAGGCAUGCAGGCUCUAGUCUGCUGCUUCUGUUAGUAAGUGCAUCUUGUUAGUGGAUUUAUGAGACACACUUAAACCUAUCAAAAAUAAAUAAUCCUAAUCCUUCAUCAGGCUGGCCUAAGUAACAUUCAGCCUGACUGGAUAAACCACUGCCCACCAGCCCUCAAAACCAGUAUAGUUCAAAGUUACAUUUCAUGUCAAGUCUUGGAAGCAGAACAUGAAUGUCUCCUACCCAAAGGAAUAUAUGUAAACAUAAUGACAAGCCUGGUGUGGCAGCAGCUCCUACACAAGGUUUGUACAAAUUUAAACAACAGGUAGGAAGUUAAACAACUGAAUGGAAAAAGAAGCUCUUUCAGCAAGUCAGAAGGUGCUCAUCUGCAGGCAUACAGCUCUGUACAUGUCAUAUGCUGAAAGCAGACUGUUCCCCAAAUCUUUGCUACUUUGACCUCAGCAACUCAUGCCUUAGGAUUGUGCCAGGAGUUCGGCUCCCGGUCUCCCAAAAGGCCCAACAAAACGGACCACCUGAUGGUUUACGUAGAGCUCUGAGUAGCAAGAUGGCAAAGGACACCAGAUGCUCCCCUCCCCUUACUGACUCACAAACUAUCUGAGAUUUCACAGCUUUGCUUAGUCAGCUUAGUGUCGACACAUUCACAGAAUGAGAGAUGGCUAUACGUCUUGGGAUUACACCCCAAGAUUUCAGAGUUCA